CAAUCAUUAAUCAUUAUUAAUGCGGUAUCAAGAUGUUACGCCAAUUCCUGCACCCAGUCACAUAAAGAGCAAAAAAAAUGGACAGGGACGGAGUCCGCGGAUAUGUGACUUGGGGGGCCUUGGCAACUUAGUCAUUGGUGAUUGUCGAAUCAAUGUAGGUUACAAUCACCGACCGUGGUUAAAAUCCUUGACAGUCGAAGGAGAAAAACAAAUAUCCUAGCGAUUGAUGCGGUGUAAAAUAAGUUGCCUACCUAUAGGUACAAAGACUUCAACACAUGGUGUAUAAUUAGGCUAUACACCGUGUCCAACAUGUAACGUAAAUUUAAUUAUCUAAUUUAUUUAAUUGUUUAUUUGUAUAAAAUUAACUAUUAAUGUCCACCGUAACUAAUGAGUAAUCAGUAAUGAUAGGUUUAUACCAUCAUAAUUACCUCACUAUUAUUGUAUAAUUAAGAAAUAGCCAAUAGAAACGAAGGUAUGGUUUCGUUGGUUAGUUAUGCACAAUAAUCCUUUGUUUUUAUUUGCAAUUUCUUAAUGACCUAAUGAUAAUGAUUUAUAACAAUUCAAGAUACAAUAUACAAAAAUGAUGAAAAAAAAAAAACUAAAGCUACACUUUAACUCAGGGCUGUAUGCUUAGUGCAUAGAGAAUCCCUUUCCCUAUUAAAUUUCUUUUUGAUGUUAAAAAA
Long non-coding RNA from Photinus pyralis (common eastern firefly), 683 nucleotides. RefSeq lists it as uncharacterized. NCBI's taxonomy places the organism in Eukaryota, Metazoa, Arthropoda, Insecta, Coleoptera, Lampyridae. The record is from RefSeq and is a predicted model, not a curated record. The transcript is spliced from 2 exons.